UACGGAGGGUGCAAGCGUUGUCCGGAAUCACUGGGCGUAAAGGGCGCGUAGGCGGCUCAUGAAGGCUGUGGUGAAAGUCCGGGGCUCAACCUCGGAUCGGCCGUGGCGACUCGUGGGCUGGAGCACUGUAGAGGCGGGUGGAAUUCCGGGUGUAGCGGUGGAAUGCGGAGAGAUCCGGAAGAACACCAGUGGCGAAGGCGGCCCGCUGGGCAGUGGCUGACGCUGAGGCGCGACAGCGUGGGGAGCAAACAGG
Molecule: ribosomal RNA, 253 nt
Filed under: uncultured bacterium
Lineage: Bacteria
Description: partial 16S ribosomal RNA
Rfam family: Bacterial small subunit ribosomal RNA
Source: RNAcentral